AGCUAAUGGACCAUAUCGUACCAUACUUUUUCCACUAUCCCAGGGUGGGGCGAGUAAGGAAGGAGGACUUUAGCCAGAAAGAAAGCCCUGAUUAGCCUAGAUUUACGUUUAAGCGAAGAAUUGUGCCAUAUUUUAUCUGUAAAUAAUAAUGCUGCUACGUAAAUAUUGACUAGCAGCAGCCUUUAAUGCAAAUAAACCACGAGGCGAUACUGCAGAGUCAAAUGGAUUGGCUAAUGGAGAAGCUAAUGUUUACAUUCUGACAGUGUGUGCUCUAUUACGGUGAACGCAUUAUGAGGUCCUCAUCAUAACGCAUUGAGAGGUCAGUGCAUCAUUAACAAAGCAGCAGUCACAGGCAACAAAGGCUGCACAUCUGGCCAGGCAUGGAUGUCUCGGUGGAGCAGAGGGGAGGCCGAGGACCAACUGCACAAUGUGUAAAUGAACGAGGCCCUGAAGGGGACGGCAGUCAACAAGCACCCGUUGUGUUCCUGGCUGCUUUUCAAAGGACAUCUGAUCACCGGGCUUGCCGCACGCCACAGCGCUUGCAGGUGGUCUGUCUGCACUUAGGGGCCGAGAACAUUUAAUAUUUCAUAGGAGCAGAGUACACCCCUGGACGCCGUCAUUGAGUCCACAUGUCCUGCAAAAAGAAAGCUGGUCUGUGAACACUCGGCUGAAAUAUGCGGCCUGCCGGCCCCCUCUCCACCAUGCUGCUCGCUCACUUGC
Molecule: long non-coding RNA, 720 nt
Organism: Neolamprologus brichardi
Lineage: Eukaryota; Metazoa; Chordata; Actinopteri; Cichliformes; Cichlidae
Source: RefSeq, a predicted model, not a curated record